This 427-nucleotide long non-coding RNA is filed under the name Anser brachyrhynchus (Pink-footed goose). RNAcentral describes it as "lncRNA (ENSABRG00000018675.1)". Lineage: Eukaryota; Metazoa; Chordata; Aves; Anseriformes; Anatidae. The record is from RNAcentral.
AUGGCAUUUUGCCAUUUCAGGAUCCCCCUUACGUUGGAGAAAAAUCCCAUGGGCAAGUUACUAUUGGAUACUAUUAUACCCAUUUUGUGUCAACAGAUAAACACAGUACUCCACAAAUGUGAGGUCCAGGACACUGUGUUAUCUACUGCUAUUCUUUUAAGUUGGUUAAAAGGAAUAUUUUUUACAAUUCUGGCAUUGUGUCAAGGUAGGUCAGGAAAUAAUCAGUGCUCUGAUUUAUACAGGAAUGGGUCUCAAGAUUUUUUGACCAUACGUAACUGGAAGCCUGCUAAAUAGUGCUCUGGAGUGGAAGUGCCAAAAGCUGAAACAGCCAAAUACCUUGGACUUUUUCAGACAUGCUAGUACAAUUUCAAAUAACAGCAAGCAUCAAAAAUUUGUCUAUUAUUAUUAUUAUUAUUAUUAUUAUUAU